ACGAACGCUGGCGGCGUGCUUAACACAUGCAAGUCGAACGGAAAGGCCCUGCUUGCAGGGUACUCGAGUGGCGAACGGGUGAGUAACACGUGGGUGAUCUGCCCUGCACUUCGGGAUAAGCCUGGGAAGCUGGGUCUAAUACCGGAUAGGAGCCAUUUUUAGUGUGAUGGUUGGAAAGUUUUUUCGGUGUAGGAUGAGCUCGCGGCCUAUCAGCUUGUUGGUGGGGUAAUGGCCUACCAAGGCGGCGACGGGUAGCCGGCCUGAGAGGGUGGACGGCCACAUUGGGACUGAGAUACGGCCCAGACUCCUACGGGAGGCAGCAGUGGGGAAUAUUGCACAAUGGGCGCAAGCCUGAUGCAGCGACGCCGCGUGGGGGAUGACGGCCUUCGGGUUGUAAACUCCUUUCGCUAGGGACGAAGCUUUUUGUGACGGUACCUAGAUAAGAAGCACCGGCUAACUACGUG
Molecule: ribosomal RNA, 464 nt
Filed under: uncultured bacterium
Lineage: Bacteria
Description: partial 16S ribosomal RNA
Rfam family: Bacterial small subunit ribosomal RNA
Source: RNAcentral